Molecule: ribosomal RNA, 231 nt
Filed under: uncultured bacterium
Lineage: Bacteria
Description: partial 16S ribosomal RNA
Rfam family: Bacterial small subunit ribosomal RNA
Source: RNAcentral
GAUCAUGGCUCAGGAUGAACGCUGGCGGCGUGCCUAACACAUUCAAGUCGAACGGAGUCUUAGAGAUAAAUCCUUCGGGAAGCGUUUUUAAGACUUAGUGGCGGACGGGCGAGUAACGCGUGAGCAACCUGCCUCUGUGAGGGGAAUAACGUCUGGAAACGGACGCUAAUACCGCAUAAAGCAUCGAGACCGCAUGAUCAUGAUGUCAAAGAUUUAUCGCACAGAGAUGGG